This 485-nucleotide ribosomal RNA is filed under the name uncultured bacterium. RNAcentral describes it as "partial 16S ribosomal RNA". It matches the Rfam family "Bacterial small subunit ribosomal RNA", at positions 899 to 1397 of the family's 1533-position model. The record is from RNAcentral.
ACUCAAAGGAAUUGACGGGGACCCGCACAAGCGGAGGAGGAUGUGGUUUAAUAUGACGCUACGCGUAGAACCUUACCGAGGCUUGACAUCUCUGGAAUCCGUGAGAGAUCAUGGAGUGCCUUCGGGAACCAGAUGACAGGUGCUGCAUGGCCGUCUAAAGCUCGUGUCGUGAGAUGUUUGGUUAAGUCCAUCAACGAGCGCAACCCUUAUCGUAUGUUGUAUUUUUCAUGCGAGACUGCCUGGGCCAACCAGGAGGAAGGCGGGGCAGACGUCAGGUCGGCAUGGCCCUUACGCCUCGGGCCACACACGUCCUACAAUGGCCGGUACAAAGCGCCGCGAUACCGCGAGGUGGAGCUAAUCGCAUCAAAACCGGUCUCAGUUCGGAUUAGAGGCUGCAACUCGCCUCUAUGAAGUCGGAUUCGCUAGUAAACGUGGGUCAGCAUACCACGUUGAAUACGUUCCCGGGUCUUGUACACACCGCCCGU